CAGUUUAGCAUCCUGGUCUCAUGGCAGGAGGAGGAGAGCAGUGCAAUUUGGGCCUGAAGCCAGCAUAACCAGCCAUGAAAACAAUCACCCAAGGGGACCACGUGUCCCAGAAUCUAGAACAAAAUUCAGAGGAUUCCACCCACAUCUGAAGCCACACAUCACAUCCAUCAUUCCUCCAGAAGAGGAGGUCUGAACAGCAACACGCUCCAUGCAAAACGAAGGAUACUGCAGCUGGGAUCGGAACUCACCCUGGGAUCUGAGCAGGCUGAGUGCUUUCAGGCUCAUGCAUCAUCAGCUCUGUGACCGAGAUGACAUUUCCGGCAAUCUCCUUGAAAAACCUUAUUGAAUUAAGUUUAACUAUC
Molecule: long non-coding RNA, 362 nt
Organism: Mauremys reevesii (Reeves's turtle)
Lineage: Eukaryota; Metazoa; Chordata; Testudines; Geoemydidae
Exons: 3
Source: RefSeq, a predicted model, not a curated record